UAAACUCAUUUGCACUGGCUGCUCUAAAGCGUCAACUGUCACCCUGUUCUUCGCUGGAUUCCUUCUGAGUCUUGCCAGGAUUCACUAUUAAUCAGAAGCUGGCCAUUUUGAACUGCCAUCCUUCAUCAGUCAAACACAGAUCUAAUGGAGAGAGCAAGCCCAGAUUUGAGGGUGUCAGAGCCCCCUCCACAAGACCUCGGCAUUUCCGAAGGCCUCAGAACAAGCCCCCUAAACACAGAGGCUCUUGAGGAUUUUGCUCAAAAUAUGUCAGAGAACAUAAUUCAAUCAGUUGUUACCCAAAAGGAAAGAGUUGCACCUGAGGUGUCCAUUUAUAAUAAAGACCAGGAAAUGCUAGCUGAGGCGCUAGCAUCUGCAGUGAUGGAGAUUGCUCUGAGUGAAGUGUCUAGAGGUCAAAACCACAUGGAGGGUGCUGAGGUAGAGAUGGAGAAUGGCAAGGGUGAAGAGCGAGAAUUGUUGGACACAGCGAUGCAUCGAGUUAAGGAAUACCAUUCUUCUACCCAGCCUUAUCAUCCACCUCUGUCCCAGUCAGGGCUUCCCGCUGUGGGAUCCCUCGACUACCCCGACGCCCCACCGACCACCCCUCUUGUCCCAGAGCUGGAGAGGAGCAGGAGCAGCUUUGCCCGAAAGCUAAAAGGAGGCUUGGCAAAGGUUUUCCUACCCUCACCUCCUCCGCCAACACCCAAGGAAAAGAGGACAACGCAGAUGGUUCGAUCAGUGAUCCUCAUGUGGAACUGAUGGAACAUCUCAUGCAGUCACUGUCUACAGAUGAGUUGGCAAGAGACAGUUUCGAAGUAGCACCUCUGCACGAACCGACUAUAGAGGCUUUCGCAGAGGCGCUGUCAAGCGAUAUCACUAACCUGGUUCUGGCCGCCACAAAAAGAGAACAGAUAUCACAUGAUAGUAAUCUUCACCUGCUGGCCCACCAGCUGUCUGAAACCAUCAUAACCUCCUCAAUUAAUGAAACUAAAAUGCUGUCUAGGAUCUAAAGGGGUCAUAUAUAAUGAACAGCCUGUAUAUAUGCAUACAGAACUUCCAUCCAUGGACUGUGUAUAAAAGAUGGACAUAGACAAUAUCGUGUAAUUAAUGAGGUCAUGAUCUGACUGUGAAACCAAGGACACAGCACACUUUAUGGUAAACAGCUUAUGACUGAUGAGUCAUUAACCAAUGAAAAUAUCCUGGUGUGUCCUCCUUUCUGACUCAAAUAAUGAGUAAAAUUGCUAAAAGACUUUCAUGCUGUGUACAGUAUGACCCGAAAAUAGUGACUGAGCCUUUAAAGUUACCAGGAAAGUAUUUAGAGAGUGUUGAAGCUGAGAACAGUUUUCCGAUAGAAUUCUGCACAACCUUUCAAACACAGAUCACAGUGAGUCCACAGCCAAGCCAAUACUUCUGCAAACUGAAGCCAAUGCAAGAAGCUAAGUCCAUCACUUAUACACAGUCUGUGGUUAUAUUCAUAUUAUAUUAAUGCUAUUUAUUAGUAGUAAUAUAUUGUUAUGAGUCCUGCUGUGUAUUAGUUUGUGUUUGUUCUUUAGAAACAAACUUCUCAGUGAGGUUUAGCAGCAUUUGUGUAUUCUGAAAACUGUUGGAUGAAAACUGUUACAUUUCGAGCUGGAUUAAAAGUACACUGGCUCUGAAUGGUAUUUUAUUAAUUUCUUUAAAGACAAAAAUGACACUGGGCUCCAAAAGCAAUAACCAUAUAUGUCCUUUGGAUGGCAGCACAGGAAAGAUAUUACUGCAUGUUUUCAGCAUGAGCUCAGCAAUAGUGACCUACUUGGAACAUGACAACAAUUGGGGUUAUUCUGUUUUCCUUUUAGGAAAUAAAUUAGCUUUAAAUGGUGGUCACUUCUCAGUGUGAAUUGUCUUGUUUUGCUUGAAUUUGCUUCUUUGGUCAGGUCCUGCUAAAUAUAAUGCCUGGUAUAAAGACUAAAUCCAUUGCAGACUGCUACAGCUGUAACAGAAGAUGAAACUGGUCAACAGAUGUUUUGUAGAUGAACUCGCAUCACACUGAAUCAUAAUCAAAUGUAACAUUGGCAAAUUGUUUAGUUAGCUCUCCUUGUAAUCAGCCUCAAAAUCUUUAUUUAUCCAGUAUGAUUCAUUCAGCCCGUACGCUAAGCAAUGAUGCUGGCAUUUUGGACAAAUUUGCAUUCUGGCUCGGUUAAAGCUCUUUUUCAUACUCACUUAGUUGUUGAAGUGAGAUCUGGGGAAAAGAAAGAGGGAGCCACAGGUCUUAACCAAAUACUGAUGUGAUCCUGGAAUGAAAUAAAAAACCCUGUUUUUCUUCACUAACUACUUAAACGUAGUUGGAGGUUGCCAGAUUUACUCAAAGUAAACCUUUUAAAGAGCUGUUUUGAAUAAACAGUUUUACUGUCCUUCUUAGUCAUCGCUGUCUCUGUUCACACACUUCUUAGGUUAAAGAAACUAGGUAAUCGAGACAGACACACACACACACACACACACGUAUGGACU
RNA transcript from Archocentrus centrarchus (flier cichlid), 2484 nucleotides. RefSeq lists it as uncharacterized. The transcript has 3 exons. Lineage: Eukaryota; Metazoa; Chordata; Actinopteri; Cichliformes; Cichlidae. The record is from RefSeq and is a predicted model, not a curated record.